GCAGUUACUGCGCUGCCAUAUCUGUUGGGUCCAUUCAUUCAUCAGCCAUGGUUCCAAUCAGUGCUGCUGCUGUUGCUCAGUCUGGUAGAACCGGGGGUCCUUGGCUUGUAGGGGGUCCCUUCCUUAGCCUUAAUAGUGGGUAGAGAUGGUGGAUCUCAUUGUUCUUUUUAUUUAUUGCUUACUGAGCAUUUUGUGAUUAUUUGGAAUAUGUCCAGCCAAUCUUGCUCAGGGACUGAGGUUUAAGUCUGUUUCCGAAGACUUAGUAUAGUCCGGUAAGUUGGGGUGUUUGUGUUCCAGCAUGACCUUGUACGUUAGAGAGAGUCCGUGUCGGUGUAUUUAUAGAGCUUUAUGUUUCAAAGCUGGUUAGUGGUCUACACACAGUAUUUCCUAUUGAUAUAGACGUCAUGUAAUGUUUCAGCUGUCUGUACCUCCACUUGUCCCCAACUUACCGCUUUUCUUUGUUUUUUAGGAGCAUGGGGAUCUGGUCUAUUUCCAUGCCUAGAAGGUGCCUUGAUUGAAGAUUCUGGAGCCCAAAAGCAGUUUUGUAUCCCUUAUGUUCAAUCCCAGUACCUGAAAUGACAGACCAUGUGGGGGGUCUUCAAAGCUGCGAAAAGAC
Xenopus laevis (African clawed frog) is the source of this 616-nucleotide long non-coding RNA. RefSeq lists it as uncharacterized. The transcript is spliced from 2 exons. NCBI's taxonomy places the organism in Eukaryota, Metazoa, Chordata, Amphibia, Anura, Pipidae. The record is from RefSeq and is a predicted model, not a curated record.